Long non-coding RNA from Rhodamnia argentea, 507 nucleotides. RefSeq lists it as uncharacterized. The transcript has 2 exons. NCBI's taxonomy places the organism in Eukaryota, Viridiplantae, Streptophyta, Magnoliopsida, Myrtales, Myrtaceae. The record is from RefSeq and is a predicted model, not a curated record.
CUGAAUGGCGCCAGGGCCUCAGGACCAUCAAAUACUGUCCAUCAAAAGUUACCCCCAGCACAACAGAGAAAGAAUGAACAGACAAGCCAAAACAAGUUGGAACAAUCAGUUGAUGUGUUUAAUGAUGCAUAAAACGAAGGUAAUGGUGCAGGAGUUCAUGAUCAACCCACCAAACUGCCUGCGGACAAAGAAAAAGUUGCUAACUUGCCUGUGAGUAAAAAGUUGGGCCAGAAUGGUAAGAACUCUUCCACAGCUGGGGGUUCUCUGGCAAAUCUAUGGGGUCGUGCUUCACCCACAACAAAAUCAAGUGGUGGCGUAGCAGAAAUUAGCAGCACCGCUCCAAGUUCCACCGUUAGUGCAGAAGCCCAAAUUUGUGCACAUGAGGAAGCAGAAUUGGACAGCGAUGAUGAGGGUCUGGAUGUCAAUCUUAAGAGACGCACCAAGCCUGAAGGCAGUAGAAAAAGAAGAGUUGUAUUUGAUUUCUCAGAUGAACAUGACGAAAAUGAA